Molecule: ribosomal RNA, 500 nt
Filed under: uncultured bacterium
Lineage: Bacteria
Description: partial 16S ribosomal RNA
Rfam family: Bacterial small subunit ribosomal RNA
Source: RNAcentral
AUUGAACGCUGGCGGAAUGCUUUACACAUGCAAGUCGAACGGCAGCACGGACUUCGGUCUGGUGGCGAGUGGCGAACGGGUGAGUAAUGUAUCGGAACGUGCCCAGUCGUGGGGGAUAACGUAGGGAAAAUUACGCUAAUACCGCAUACGAUCUACGGAUGAAAGCGGGGGAUUGCAAGACCUCGCGCGCUUGGAGCGGCCGAUAUCAGAUUAGGUAGUUGGUGGGGUAAAGGCCCACCAAGCCAACGAUCUGUAGCUGGUCUGAGAGGACGACCAGCCACACUGGAACUGAGACACGGUCCAGACUCCUACGGGAGGCAGCAGUGGGGAAUUUUGGACAAUGGGCGAAAGCCUGAUCCAGCCAUUCCGCGUGCAGGAUGAAGGCCCUCGGGUUGUAAACUGCUUUUGUACAGAACGAAAAGGUUUCUACUAAUACUAGGAGCUCAUGACGGUACUGUAAGAAUAAGCACCGGCUAACUACGUGCCAGCAGCCGCGGUAA